RNAcentral lists this ribosomal RNA (230 nucleotides) under uncultured microorganism. RNAcentral describes it as "partial 16S ribosomal RNA". It matches the Rfam family "Bacterial small subunit ribosomal RNA", at positions 524 to 753 of the family's 1533-position model. The record is from RNAcentral.
UACGUAGGGGGCAAGCGUUGUCCGGAUUUACUGGGUGUAAAGGGCGCGUAGGCGGGUUUGUAAGUCAGAGGUGAAAUCCUGCGGCUCAACCGUAGAACUGCCUUUGAUACUGCAAACCUUGAGUUCAGAAGAGAGAGACGGAAUUCCAGGUGUAGUGGUGAAAUACGUAGAUAUCUGGAAGAACACCAGUGGCGAAGGCGGUCUCUUGGUCUGUAACUGACGCUGAGGCG